CCCUAAAGUGGGGGAUAGCCUUUCGAAAGGAAGAUUAAUACCGCAUGUGGCCUUUGGGUCAAAGCUGCCUUCGGGUGGUGCUUUAGGAUGGGCUCGCGGCCUAUCAGCUAGUAGGUGAGGUAACGGCUCACCUAGGCGAUGACGGGUAGCUGGUCUGAGAGGACGAUCAGCAACACUGGAACUGAGACACGGUCCAGACACCUACGGGUGGCAGCAGUCGAGAAUCAUUCACAAUGGGGGCAACCCUGAUGGUGCAACGCCGCGUGGAGGAAGAAGGCCCUAGGGUCGUAAACUCCUGUCAUUUGAGAGUAAGGCUUAUGCGUUAAAAGCGUGUAAGUUUGAUAGUAUCAAAAGAGGAAGGGACGGCUAACUUCGUGCCAGCAGCCGCGGUAAUACGAAGGUCCCAAGCGUUGUUCGGAAUCACUGGGCGCAAAGCGUACGUAGGCGGUUAGGUAAGUCAGAUGUGAAAGGCAGGGGCUCAACCCCUGGACUGCAUCCGAUACUGCCUGACUAUAGUCAUGGAGAGGUAAGUGGAAUUCUUGGUGUAGCAGUGAAAUG
RNAcentral lists this ribosomal RNA (558 nucleotides) under uncultured bacterium. Its description in RNAcentral is "bacterial SSU rRNA". It matches the Rfam family "Bacterial small subunit ribosomal RNA", at positions 129 to 688 of the family's 1533-position model. The record is from RNAcentral.